This 855-nucleotide ribosomal RNA is filed under the name uncultured bacterium. RNAcentral's name for it is "SSU rRNA". It matches the Rfam family "Bacterial small subunit ribosomal RNA", at positions 524 to 1381 of the family's 1533-position model. The record is from RNAcentral.
UACAUAGGGUGCAAGCGUUGUCCGGAAUUAUUGGGCGUAAAGAGCUCGUAGGUGGUCGAUCACGUCGGAUGUGAAAUUCUGAGGCUUAACCUCGGACCUGCAUUCGAUACGGGUUGACUAGAGCGUGGUAGGGGAGACUGGAAUUCCUGGUGUAGCGGUGGAAUGCGCAGAUAUCAGGAGGAACACCGAUGGCGAAGGCAGGUCUCUGGGCCAUUACUGACACUGAGGAGCGAAAGCGUGGGGAGCGAACAGGAUUAGAUACCCUGGUAGUCCACGCCGUAAACGGUGGGCGCUAGUUGUGGGAACCUUCCACGGUUUCUGCGACGCAGCUAACGCAUUAAGCGCCCCGCCUGGGGAGUACGGUCGCAAGACUAAAACUCAAAGAAAUUGACGGGGCCCCGCACAAGCAGCGGAGCAUGCGGCUUAAUUCGACGCAACGCGAAGAACCUUACCAAGGCUUGACAUAUACAGGAAUACGGCAGAGAUGUCGUAGCCGCAAGGUCUGUAUACAGGUGGUGCAUGGUUGUCGUCAGCUCGUGUCGUGAGAUGUUGGGUUAAGUCCCGCAACGAGCGCAACCCUCGUCCUGUGUUACCAGCAUUUAGUUGGGGACUCACAGGAGACUGCCGGGGUCAACUCGGAGGAAGGUGGGGAUGACGUCAAAUCAUCAUGCCCCUUAUGUCUUGGGCUGCACGCAUGCUACAAUGGCUGGUACAAAGGGCUGCGAUACCGCGAGGUGGAGCGAAUCCCAAAAAGCCAGUCUCAGUUCGGAUUGGGGUCUGCAACUCGACCCCAUGAAGUCGGAGUUGCUAGUAAUCGUAGAUCAGCAACGCUACGGUGAAUACGUUCCCGGGGCU